Molecule: non-coding RNA, 636 nt
Organism: Lactuca sativa (garden lettuce)
Lineage: Eukaryota; Viridiplantae; Streptophyta; Magnoliopsida; Asterales; Asteraceae
Source: RefSeq, a predicted model, not a curated record
UAGCUUUUUGAUUCAUAUACUUCAAAAAAACAUCAAGGAUGAAAUUCUUUUUGAAUUUAAUGUAAUAAUCUCUCUCUCUCUCUCUCUCUCUCUCUCAAUAUUAAUCCCCACUCCAUCUCUCUUAUGGUCACACAGACACCCUAAUAAUCUUUAUUAGCUUCAAUUGGAAAGUGCUCAAAGUUUGGAACGGUCGACACAAAUGAUGUUGCAACGAUAGUGCCCUCUCAUCCCCUUUGCAUUAUUCAAAUCUUGUAGAUUUGAGCCUCUCACUCUUAGGUUCGUAUAUAUCGAAAGAGAAUUUUUCCUUCCAGAUUUAAGGCAAAAAAUUUCACCGCUGGUAUGUUCUGAUAUAACCUUCUAAACCUACGACAUUGUUUGGCUAGGAAAAGCGGUCAUCUUCAUCCUAUCUGAUCACAUGUUCAUCAUUCCUCAUCGGUUCCUCUAUUUACAUUUGAAGUCCAUCAACAAGAACAUGAGAUGUAUCAAGGUCUGAAACUAAUCAAGGGAAGCUCAAGUUUUAGCAUAACCGGCAUAAUCUCGUAAUUCAACACUUAAUAUCAUUUUUAGACAAUAUGUGUUAAAUGAAAAUACAAGUGUAAUCAUAUCUUAUUAAUCUAAUAAAAUUUUAUAAAUCUU